RNAcentral lists this non-coding RNA (30 nucleotides) under Homo sapiens (human). Lineage: Eukaryota; Metazoa; Chordata; Mammalia; Primates; Hominidae. The record is from RNAcentral.
GGCAACAAACCGUGUCUGCUAACCCCCAGC